GACGAACGCUGGCGGCGUGCUUAACACAUGCAAGUCGAACGGAGCACCCCUGAAGGAGUUUUCGGACAACGGAUGGGAAUGCUUAGUGGCGGACUGGUGAGUAACGCGUGAGGAACCUGCCCUUCAGAGGGGGACAACAGUUGGAAACGACUGCUAAUACCGCAUGAUACAUUUGAAUCGCAUGGUUUGAAUGUCAAAGAUUUAUCGCUGAAGGAUGGCCUCGCGUCUGAUUAGCUAGUUGGUGGGGUAACGGCCCACCAAGGCGACGAUCAGUAGCCGGACUGAGAGGUUGGCCGGCCACAUUGGGACUGAGAUACGGCCCAG
RNAcentral lists this ribosomal RNA (324 nucleotides) under uncultured bacterium. RNAcentral describes it as "bacterial SSU rRNA". It matches the Rfam family "Bacterial small subunit ribosomal RNA", at positions 28 to 334 of the family's 1533-position model. The record is from RNAcentral.